UAGGAUAGCCUCCACGGGCUUACGCGUGGGAUAGCUGCCACGAGCUUAUGCGUGGGAUUUGUGCAGUCUUGGACUGGGUCAUGAACUUGGUUAGUCCAACGCCAGAAGUAAAAAGUCUGAAGACUUGGGAAUCAUGGUAUUACGUGAAUGAAUCACGAAAUGUGAAAAAGGGAUUUAUGUAUACAAAAUGGUUUGUGUAUAUAUUUGUUAUUUGUUGAGCCUUUUGAAAUGAUGAAAUGACAUAUAUUUGAUGCAUUGAUUAUUUUAUGAUUUUU
Molecule: long non-coding RNA, 275 nt
Filed under: Phoenix dactylifera (date palm)
Lineage: Eukaryota; Viridiplantae; Streptophyta; Magnoliopsida; Arecales; Arecaceae
Description: long non-coding RNA (PDAC_LNC019193)
Source: RNAcentral